Y RNA from Callithrix jacchus (white-tufted-ear marmoset), 102 nucleotides. It matches the Rfam family "Y RNA". From Rfam's summary of the family: Y RNAs are components of the Ro ribonucleoprotein particle (Ro RNP), in association with Ro60 and La proteins. Lineage: Eukaryota; Metazoa; Chordata; Mammalia; Primates; Cebidae. The record is from Ensembl.
AGUCUGUCCAAGUGCAGUGAUGUUUACAACUAAUUGAUCACAACCAGUUAUAGGUUUCUUUGUUCCUCCUUCACUCCCACUACUUCACUUCGCUAGCCUUUA